GAGUGAGCGCGAUAAGGGCAUUCGGUGGAUGCCUUGGCACCAGGAGGCGAUGAAGGACGUAGCACGCUGCGAAAAGCUACGGGGAGCCGCGAGCAGGCUUUGAUCCGUAGAUAUCCGAAUGGGGCAACCCACCCGCAAGGGUAUCGUAGUCUGAAUACAUAGGACUAUGAGGCGAACCCGGGGAACUGAAACAUCUCAGUACCUGGAGGAAAAGACAUCAAUUGAGAUUCUGCUAGUAGUGGCGAGCGAACGCGGAACAGGCCAGUGGUCUUUGGAAGAGAAGCAGAACACUCUGGAAAGGGUGGCCAUAGUGGGUGAUAGUCCCGUAUGCGUAGUGCUUCUGAAGAUCCUUGAGUAGGGCGGGGCACGUGAAACCCUGUCUGAACAUGGGGGGACCACCCUCCAAGCCUAAAUACUCCCUGGUGACCGAUAGUGAACAAGUACCGUGAGGGAAAGGUGAAAAGCACCCCGAUGAGGGGAGUGAAAUAGACCUGAAACCGAAUGCCUACAAGCAGUCGGAGCCUCUUAUGGGGUGACGGCGUACCUUUUGUAUAAUGGGUCAGCGAGUUUCUGUUUGCAGCAAGCUUAAGCCGUUAGGUGUAGGCGUAGCGAAAGCGAGUCUGAAUAGGGCGUUUAGUUGCUGGCAGAAGACCCGAAACCGAGUGAUCUAGCCAUGGCCAGGCUGAAGGUGCGGUAACACGCACUGGAGGGCCGAACCCACGCCUGUUGAAAAAGUCGGGGAUGAGCUGUGGCUAGGGGUGAAAGGCCAAUCAAACUCGGAAAUAGCUGGUUCUCCGCGAAAUCUAUUGAGGUAGACCGUCAGGAAUUUACCCCGGGGGGUAGAGCACUGGAUGGGCUAGGGGGGCCCAAAGCCUUACCAAACCUAACCAAACUCCGAAUACCCGGAAGUAUUAGCCUGGCAGACAGACAGUGGGUGCUAAGGUCCAUUGUCGAGAGGGAAACAGCCCAGACCACCAGCUAAGGCCCCUAAAUCGUGGCUAAGUGGGAAAGGAUGUGGGGAUUCCAAAACAACCAGGAGGUUGGCUUAGAAGCAGCCAUCCUUUAAAGAAAGCGUAAUAGCUCACUGGUCUAAUAGAAACCCUGCGCCGAAAAUGUAACGGGGCUCAAGCCACGUGCCGAAGCUGUGGGUGCAUAUCUAUGAUAUGCGCGGUAGCGGAGCGUUCCGUAGGUCUGUGAAGGAGGCGGGGUGACCCCCUCUGGAGAUAUCGGAAGUGCGAAUGCUGACAUGAGUAGCGACAAACAGUGCGAGAAACACUGUCGCCGAAAGUCCAAGGGUUCCUGCGCAAGGUUAAUCCACGCAGGGUUAGUCGGCCCCUAAGGCGAGGGCGAAAGCCGUAGUCGAUGGGAAUCAGGUGAAUAUUCCUGAACCUGCCAGAAGUGACGAAUGCAAUAUGUUGUCAGUCCUUAUCGGAUUGGACUGGCUUUUGGCGCAUUCCAGGAAAUAGCUCUGGCAUAUAGACCGUACCCGAAACCGACACAGGUGGACUGGUAGAGAAUACCAAGGCGCUUGAGAGAACGAUGCUGAAGGAACUAGGCAAAUUACUCGUGUAACUUCGGGAUAAGCGAGACCCGUUAGUGGGCAACCAUUGGCGGGUGGCACAGACCAGGGGGUAGCGACUGUUUAGUAAAAACACAGGGCUCUGCGAAGUCGAAAGACGACGUAUAGGGCCUGACGCCUGCCCGGUGCCGGAAGGUUAAGAGGAGGUGUGAGAGCACUGAAUUGAAGCCCCGGUAAACGGCGGCCGUAACUAUAACGGUCCUAAGGUAGCGAAAUUCCUUGUCGGGUAAGUUCCGACCUGCACGAAUGGCGUAA
This 1834-nucleotide ribosomal RNA is filed under the name Acetobacter malorum. RNAcentral describes it as "LSU rRNA". It matches the Rfam family "Bacterial large subunit ribosomal RNA", at positions 1 to 2004 of the family's 2925-position model. The record is from RNAcentral. Lineage: Bacteria; Pseudomonadati; Pseudomonadota; Alphaproteobacteria; Acetobacterales; Acetobacteraceae.